AAAGAGUGCGUAAUAGCUCACUGGUCGAGUGAAUGUGCGCCGAAAAUGUACCGGGGCUAAACCACACACCGAAGUCUUGGGAUUACAGCAAUGUAAUCGGUAGGGGAGCAACGAAUACGGGCUGAAGCGGAAUCGUAAGAGACCGUGGACUGUAUUGGAGAGAGAAUGCCGGCAUGAGUAGCGAGAGCAAAGUGAGAAUCUUUGCCGUCGAAAGCCUAAGGUUUCCUGAGGAAGGUUCGUCCUCUCAGGGUAAGUCGGGGCCUAAGCCGAGGACAAAAGUCGUAGGCGAUGGACAACAGGUUGAUAUUCCUGUACCACGACAAUUCGUUUGACUGACGCAGUGACACAGAAGGAUAGGCAGAGCGGGGCGAUGGUAGACCCCGUCCAAGCGGUGAGGCUGGAGCGUAGUGAAGUACGCGCUUCAAGGCUGGGCCGUGAUGGGCUACGAAAAUAAGUAGGAAAGCUGCUGAAUUCACGCUGGCAAGAAAAGCUGCUAAGGAGAAUUGUUGUGCCCGUACCGCAAACCGACACAGGUGGGCGAGGAGAGAAUCCUAAGACGAACGGGAGAACCCUUGUUAAGGAACUCGGCAAAAUGACCCCGUAACUUCGGGAGAAGGGGUGCCUCGAAAGAGGCCGCAGAGAAUAGGCCCAAGCGACUGUUUAGCAAAAACACAGGUCUGUGCGAAGUAGAGAUACGACGUAUACGGGCUGACGCCUGCCCAGUGCCGGAAGGUUAAGGGGAAGUGUUAGGGCAACCGAAGCACGGAACUUAAGCCCCGGUGAACGGCGGCCGUAACUAUAACGGUCCUAAGGUAGCGAAAUUCCUUGUCGGGUAAGUUCCGACCCGCACGAAUGGCGUAACGACUUGGGCACUGUCUCAACAAGGGACCCGGCGAAAUUGUAGUAUGUGUGAAGAUGCACAUUACCCGCGACUGGACGGAAAGACCCCGUAGAGCUUUACUGUAGCUUGGCAUUGGAUUUUGGUAACAUAUGCACAGAAUAGGUGGGAGGCUUUGAAGCAGCGACUCCGGUCGUUGUGGAGCCACCUUUGGGAUACCACUCUUGUGUUACUGAGGUUCUAACGAGCGGCCGUGAUCCGGCGUUCGGACAGUGCCAGGUGGGCAGUUUGACUGGGGCGGUCGCCUCCCAAAGAGUAACGGAGGCGUUCAAAGGUUUCCUCAGAAUGGUUGGAAACCAUUCGAAGAGUGCAAAGGCAGAAGGGAGCCUGACUGCGAGACCGACAGGUCGAGCAGAUACGAAAGUAGGACUUAGUGAUCCGGCGGUAUGAGAGUGGAAUUGCCGUCGCUCAACGGAUAAAAGCU
Molecule: ribosomal RNA, 1322 nt
Filed under: bioreactor sludge metagenome
Description: bacterial LSU rRNA
Rfam family: Bacterial large subunit ribosomal RNA
Source: RNAcentral